Molecule: ribosomal RNA, 253 nt
Filed under: uncultured bacterium
Lineage: Bacteria
Description: partial 16S ribosomal RNA
Rfam family: Bacterial small subunit ribosomal RNA
Source: RNAcentral
UACGAAGGGGGCUAGCGUUGUUCGGAAUUACUGGGCGUAAAGCGAACGUAGGCGGUGUUCCAUGUCAGAGGUGAAAGCCUGGGGCUCAACUCCAGAACUGCCUUCGAUACUGGGAGUCUCGAGUCCGGGAGAGGUGAGUGGAACUGCGAGUGUAGAGGUGAAAUUCGUAGAUAUUCGCAAGAACACCAGUGGCGAAGGCGGCUCACUGGCCCGGUACUGACGCUGAGGUGCGAAAGCGUGGGGAGCAAACAGG